Molecule: ribosomal RNA, 497 nt
Filed under: uncultured bacterium
Lineage: Bacteria
Description: partial 16S ribosomal RNA
Rfam family: Bacterial small subunit ribosomal RNA
Source: RNAcentral
GAUGAACGCUGGCGGCGUGCCUAACACAUGCAAGUCGAGCGAACCGACGCCGAGGUUGCUCUGUUCUCGCUAGCGGCGGAUGAGUGAGUAAUAGGUAGGUUACCCUCAUCUCUGACAUGGCUCAGUUAGGCCAGCCGGAACUACUACUGGAACAUCCUCCGACCUGUACGGUUCGAUAGAGAUAGUUGGCUCUGCUAUCACCCACAGCCGGUCCUGUGCUGUAUUGGCUAGUUGGCAAGGUAACGGGUUACCAAGGCAACGACCCGUAGCCGACCUGAGCGGCGGAUCGGCCACACUGGAACUGAGACACGGUCCAGACGACUACGGGAGGCAGCAGUAGGGAAUGUUCGGCAAUGGGCGAAAGCCUGACGGAGCAACGCCGCGUGUGUGAUGAAGGUCUUCGGAGCGUAAAGCUGGGUUAUUGGGUAAGAACAAACGUGUGAGUAGAUGUAGACGUCGUGACGGUACCUGAAGAAGAAGCCACGGCUAACUACGUG